RNAcentral lists this ribosomal RNA (484 nucleotides) under uncultured bacterium. Its description in RNAcentral is "bacterial SSU rRNA". It matches the Rfam family "Bacterial small subunit ribosomal RNA", at positions 53 to 507 of the family's 1533-position model. The record is from RNAcentral.
ACAUGCAAGUCGAACGAGAAAGUCUUUAGCUUGCUAGAGCGAGUACAGUGGCGCGACGGGUGAGUAACGCGUGGGUAAUCUGCCCUUGAAUUUGGGAUAACACUUCGAAAGGAGUGCUAAUACCGGAUAACAUCUUUUUUGUUGCGGCAAGAAAGAUCAAAGAUAGCCUCUUCAUGAAAGCUAUUGUUUGAGGAUGAGCCCGCGUACCAUUAGCUUGUUGGUGGGGUAAUGGCCUACCAAGGCGACGAUGGUUAGCUGGUCUGAGAGGAUGAUCAGCCACACUGGAACUGGAACACGGUCCAGACUCCUACGGGAGGCAGCAGUGAGGAAUUUUGCGCAAUGGGCGAAAGCCUGACGCAGCAACGCCGCGUGAGUGAUGAAGGAUUUCGGUUCGUAAAGCUCUGUCAAGUGGGAAGAACCUAUAUAGUGUUAAUAGCAUUAUGUACUGACGGUACCACUGAAGGAAGCACCGGCUAACUCCGUG